RNAcentral lists this transfer RNA (73 nucleotides) under Bos taurus (domestic cattle). It matches the Rfam family "tRNA". Rfam says of the family: Transfer RNA (tRNA) molecules are approximately 80 nucleotides in length. Their secondary structure includes four short double-helical elements and three loops (D, anti-codon, and T loops). Lineage: Eukaryota; Metazoa; Chordata; Mammalia; Artiodactyla; Bovidae. The record is from Rfam by way of RNAcentral. RNAcentral also lists the same sequence under 1 other name.
UCCCUGGCAGUCUAGUGGUUAAGGCUCUACACUUCUGAUGCAGGGGGUGCAGGUUCGAACCCUGGUUGGGGAA